This is an RNA transcript of Monodelphis domestica (gray short-tailed opossum), 5577 nucleotides long. It is a transcript of the gene named NUBP iron-sulfur cluster assembly factor 2, cytosolic, with no coding region annotated. Lineage: Eukaryota; Metazoa; Chordata; Mammalia; Didelphimorphia; Didelphidae. The record is from RefSeq and is a predicted model, not a curated record.
AGAGGACAAGGACAAAGGGGAGGGAGAAGGGGAGAGAUGUUGCUUCGGAUUGGAUGAAAGGUCCCUCACUCUAGGCGGGAGAAGGGAAGGGGUGUGUGUACGCAGAUGGAGGCGGAAGUUGUGACGUGAAGUAGCGCCCGGCAGAAUGGAGGCCGCACAGGAGACAAGAAACCUGACUGGCAUCAGACAGAUCAUCUUGGUCCUUUCAGGAAAAGGUGGGGUAGGGAAAAGCACCAUCUCUACAGAGCUGGCCCUGGCCCUCCGGCAUGCUGGCAAGAAGGUUGGAAUUCUGGACGUGGACCUCUGUGGUCCCAGCAUUCCCCGAAUGCUCAAAGUACAAGACAAGGCUGUGCACCAGUGUGACAAUGGCUGGGUGCCUGUGUUUGUGGACCAAGAGCAAACCAUCUCCCUCAUGUCUGUGGGCUUCCUACUAGAGAAGCCAGAUGAAGCUGUGGUGUGGAGAGGACCCAAGAAAAAUGCAUUGAUAAAACAGUUUGUCUCUGAUGUGGCCUGGGGUGACCUGGACUAUCUCAUUGUGGAUACACCACCAGGGACCUCUGAUGAGCACAUUUCUACUGUGGAAGCCCUUCGCCCUUAUAAACCCCUGGGGGCUAUUUUGGUUACUACACCCCAGGCAAUAUCUGUGGGUGAUGUUAGGAGAGAACUCACCUUUUGCAAGAAGACAGGGUUGCGAGUAAUUGGAAUUGUGGAGAAUAUGAGUGGUUUUGUCUGUCCACAUUGUUCGGAGUGCACUAAUCUUUUCUCUAAGGGAGGUGGGGAAGAACUGGCCAGACACGCAAAAGUCCCCUUCUUAGGCUGUGUGCCCCUGGAUCCUCAGCUUACAAAGAGUUUGGAGGAAGGCCAAGACUUCAUCCAAGAAUUCCCUAAAAGCCCUGCUUUCCCUGCAUUCAUUUCUAUUACUCAGCAGAUCCUGGAUGGGACAUUGGCUCAGACUUCCUAAUGAAGGCUUCUCAGAUUCUUGUUUACUAUGAUUCCUUUUUUGCUGCUGUUGGAUUCAGCCCUUUGCCUAAAAGUCAGAAGAAUGUCACAGAGCAAAGACCUCUAAAGAAACUUCCUGGAUCAUUCGGAAGCCCUCAGUGCAAAGGAGCCAGUGUCAUUUCUGCAAUUAAAAUGGGCUUCCUAAGGACCAGGAGUUUACUAUCAGUUUGCUGCUGAAAAAUGUUAUAAAACAAUGGACUAAGAAGAUUUAGGUGGUAGAAACAACACCACAGGUUGGACUCAUUAUCUUAGCAGUAUUCUCUGCAUCUGUGUGCAUGUGUGGGUUGGAGGGCAGGACCUGGAAUGUGCUGCUGUUUCAUGUCAUCCUUCUUGAAUUGGAGCAGGAAGUACUACUGAAGGAUAGAGGGAAGAGUGGGUAUCAGGGAAGCAUAUGAAAUGGGACACAAAAAGAAAAAUCCACUCUCUGGGGUGAUCCCUUACAUGUCACAUGUCCACCUGAUCAUGCAAUACCUAGUAUCCUUAGGUUUGCCUAUCAAAUCUGCUUACCUGUUAAACUGCUGUGGAGAGGGUUUGAGAUUCUAGUCGCUCUGCUGAUUUUCAGAAGAAAAUUCUCCUGGGUCUUUUAUGCCUGAGAUCAUAACUCAAGAUUUAUUCAUACACUAAUUGGGAAAUAUAUAGUUCAGUGAUGUAUCUGUUUAGCCCCAUCUUCACAACUUCCCACACAAUUUUUCCACAACAAUACUUCAAUCUCCCUAUUGACCACUUGACCUUUACAACAAAUUUUUUUGUUUGGCAGACAGGGUAGAUCUAGGUAAAGGAAUUAGAAUGAUUGAGCCUAGAAAAGGAAAGCUUGAGGGUCUCUCCCAAUCUCCAAGUAGAUGAAGGAAUCCUAGCAGGAGAAUGCUAGCCAGUUCUUAUCUCCUGCCUUCUAAAAGAACAUCACAAAGGAAAUAGAUCUGAAAUCACCACAGAAAACAGGUAAGAUGUGAGAAAUAACACUCUGAAUGUCAGGACUGUGAGAUAGGUACCAGAGUCUAUAAAUAGUGGAGAAGUUUAAGAGACACCAAUUGAUCCUUGGUUACCGAAGGUGUGUGGGGAAGACCUUUGGAUAUUCCAUUCUACUUAAGCAUUCUGAGCUUGGCCAAGAUGUGUGCUGACCUUGACUAACUCUAUCAUUAUCCCUCCCUUUGACCUGAGGAGGAUAACAUGCUGUGCUUUUUUGUUGUUAUUUUUGUGAAAUUGCUUUUAAUUGAUAAUGAGCAUCUUAUCAGGUAAGAGUAGAAACUGCUUUAUCCACCCCCUACCCCCAUUGUAAUUUGAUGUCCUUUCUGGUCACAGACCUUUUGGGAAUUGGGCUAGUCACCAUCUGUUCCAAACCCUCAAAAGACCCAGUUGAAAGUCCAAACAACCUGCCUGUACCUUGACUGCCCAAAGAUGAGGGCAUCUUGCUGGAGUUGAAAAGCACUUGUGAAAGUAUGAAUAAAAGGGAAUCAGACUAUGAAAUCUUCCCUUUGUCUGCUCUGGUCUCACUGUGGAGCCCUCCAGGGAGGACCUAAGGAGUACUAUGCAGGUCUCACAGAAGUGUUCAGGCACAAUCUGCUUGACUACGGGGGACUGGCUUGUCAUUUUUUCUUGGGUGGUAUAGUGAGGGUCACUACUAAGGAAUGAGUGAAAUUGAUUUCACAGCAAAAUAUUGCAAACGUUUGCUUCCGCUCAGGGGAAGUUGGACACGGGGUUAACAGUGAGCAAAGUGGUCUUCUUCAAUGUCACGAAGGUCAAGGCCAGCCACCUCCAGGGGAUUCUGACAGGUGAGAUUGUUGUAAGCAUACACAGGAGUCUGGCAGUCAUCCCUUUCUUGAAUGGCUCGGACGAAGCGGGGUACCACACUGGGUUUCUGCAGGGAGAAAUCCCUCAGCCCCUUUAGGGAGCAGCUACAGUUCCAUUCAUUUCCUUCCAGCCACAGCUGCUCUAGGUCUGGGAGCUGGGGAGAGAAGGCCCUCAGAGAGUUGUUCUUCAGGCUGAGGUACCUAAGGUUCCCCAAAGGUGCAAAUAGGCCAUCAGCUAUGGUUUCAAUGUGGUUAUGGGAAAGGUCCAGCCAGAACAAAUGCGGGAGGGAGCUGAAGGUGUCUGGGGAGAGAUCUGCCAGCUGGUUGUGAGAGAGGAGCAGGUACUCCAGGUUCUUGAGACCCUGGAAGAGCUGGCUAGAGAGGAGUGUCAGCGCAUUGGAUGUGAGGUCCAAUUCCAAGAGUUCAUGCAGAUCCAUCAGGCUCUGGUCCUCAAUCAUGGAAAUGCUAUUAUGCUUCAAGAAGAGUCUCCGUAAGCCAGGAAGGCCAGAGAAUGUGUGCCGCUGGACCCUGGUGAGGCAGCUGCCCUCAAGGUGGAGGCUGUGCAUUUUGCUGAGACCCUUGAAGACCUGUUCAGGGAGGCUUUUGAUGCAAUUGCUGGACAAGUUCAUCACAGCCACAUGGAAGAGGCCAGGGAAUGCCCCAACUUUGAUGUCCUGGAUCUGAUUGUGGUUGAGGGUGAGAACUUCCAGCUGGCCUAGACCCUCAAAUGUCCUCUCCCCGAGGCUCCUGAUUUUGUUGUGCCCAAGCUGCAGCUCUUCCAGGAUCUGAAGAUCUUUGAAGGUCCUGGGCCGGAGACUGGCAAUGGCAUUGUUGGAGAGGCGCAGGACAUGCAAACUGUGGAGGCCCAGGAAGGUCUCCUCAAAGAGGACACCAAUGCGGUUGUGAGACAGAUCCAGCCAGCGCAAGGACCUGAGGCCCAGAAAAGCUCGGGGUGCAAUGGUGCUGAUGAGAUUGUGGCUUAGGUAAAGCUUCUGCAAUUUCUGCUGCUUGAUGAAGACAUUGGUCUUGAUGCUCCGGAGCGCAUUGCCACUCAGGUCCAAUUCCCGGAGCUCAGUGAGGCUGCAGAAGAGCUGGGAUUGCAAAUAAGCCAACUUGUUACCAGCCAUGAUAAGCUCCCGGAGGUUGGGCAGGUCAUGGAACAGCGUGUCUGGGAGAACUACCAGUGAGUUCCAGCCAAGAUUCAGAUCCCAGAGGUUGGAGAGCCCAGCAAAGAGGCCCUCUUCGACUUUGCUAAAGUAGUUAUUGUUGAGACUCAGGGAGACCAGGUUCUGGGUGUGCAGAAAGGUAUUGGGGGCGAGGUAUUUUAGCCGGUUCCGUUCCAGAUGUAGGUGGUAGAGGGCCCGGAGCCCAUGGAAAGCAUGUGGCUCCAGGCUGCUCACCUGGCUGCUCUGCAGGUUGAGAAAAUCCAGGCCAGAGAGGUUUUUGAAGGCGCCAGUGGGGAGAGUAGUGAAGUUGUUGCCGUCCAACCACAGAGCCUUGGUGGUGCCGGGCAGGUCGCUGGGGAGCUGGGUUAGGUUUCUGGAGCUACAGUAUACGUUGAGCUCGUCACUGUAGUCAUCAUAGUUGCAGGCACAAACCCCGGGGCAUUUUAGGAGCUCUGGAUCACUAGGCUCCACUGGGGCAGCACCCUCCAGGCUCGAAGAGCACCUUGCUCCGGGGCACACCAUCGCCCAGGGGAGCAGCAGCAGGUGCACUGCCAAGGGAAUGACUCCUACGGGUGAGGAACAGAACUUGAGUUUAGCUGUGGCAUCAGCAUCCACAAUGGCUAUUGGAGAGAUUCUCCUUGGGUCUCCCUUUCCCAAAACCUCUAAGAUGAAAGGGCUGAAGCUCUUAAGAUCUCUAAAAUGGUCCUGGUUCUUCUGUGGCACUGUAAUCCCUGAAACUGUUCCCCUGUGAGUGUAUUUCUUCCACCUUCUCCUAUCGUUUUACUGCUCAUAGUGACGCAUCCUCCAUCAUCACACAAGUUCAGAUUUGUCCUUCUGUGUGUGACUUCUACUCCAGAGUCAAAUCUCACCCUGGUGUCUGUAUCCCACCCGACCUCCUACCCUAGAAUGAAGAAGAACACAUCCUGCUGUCUGUCUGUCUGUCUGUCCGUCGGAUAGGUUUUAUAACAUCCCUAUUGGAGCACCUUCCAGAACCCCUUGCACCAGGGUUCCCCUUGCUCCCUCUUUUGUGGAGACACUAGCAGGCCUGCGCCUCAGUGAACACAUCUUUCCAGCGAGCACCCUGUCUUAGCCUUUAGCUUGCCAAGCCCCGAACCCCACAGGGAAAUACUGCAGUUUGAAUGCCGGGGUCCCUGUCAUCCCAACAGGAUAUAGAUCUUUCGCAGAUCAGUAUAUAUGGAACUUCUCCAUACCUCUGACUCCAUCUUCCCCCCUACCACAUGGGCAUUGUUGCCCCCCAACGUCUCACUCUCCAUUUUUGUCCCUUGUGAAGCAAAUGAGGAUGGGAAAGGGCCAAAAUCUCACUCAUUUUUUCCUUCUCUGUGGGCCUAGCAUGGUUUUUUUUAACCACCACCUUCUGUCUUAGAAUCAAUAGUGAGUAUUCAUCCCCAGGCAGAAGAUCAGUAAGCACUAGGCAUUGAGAAUUAAGUGACUUGCCCAGGGCCACAGAGCCAGGAAGUAUCUAAGGCCAGAUCUGAAUCUAGGACCUCCUGUCUCCAAGUUGUGUGUGUGUGUGUGUGUGUAAAUAAAUAAAAUAGUCAUUAAUUUUACAUGUCAUUGGGGGGAAAAAUUAAGAUGUAAAUAAAUAAAUGGUCAUUGAAUCCAAA